This 485-nucleotide long non-coding RNA is filed under the name Bos taurus (domestic cattle). RNAcentral's name for it is "long non-coding RNA NONBTAT014993". The record is from RNAcentral. Lineage: Eukaryota; Metazoa; Chordata; Mammalia; Artiodactyla; Bovidae.
AUUUGGAAUGGUUUGGAAUUAGGGGAAGCAGUCAUAAUACAUAGUCUUAAAACGUUAUAAAGGUUGUUUUGGCAAUAACUUUCAUAAAUUUUAAUUCCAGUAUUUUAGAAGUAGGGCCUGUAUUUGCCCACAUCUUCUUUAUAUUGUUGUGUUUCCCUCCCGGCAUAAGUGGAUUAUUGUUUUCUAAUUCUUGACUUUGGUCUUGGAGACUAUAUAAAAUCAAUCAAAAUUUUACUUAAAGUUGACAUGUACUAGUACUAACACAUGUUUUGAAUAGACUGCAGAAUCAGGGUAAUUGCUUGGUGUUCGGAUGCAGCAUUUCUGACCAAUUAGUGACCUCUUCUGCCUUGUUUUAAUUUGACAGAGUGAGCGCUGUUAUAAAAUAAGAAAGGAUCGCUGUGAUGAUACAGGAUCUGUUACCUCUAGUUUGCUCUUCAAAUAAUCACAGUAUUGUAGUCCCAAUAGUAUAAGUUUGUGGGUUUUAG